GGUUCAGAACGUCGUGAGACAGUUCGGUUUAUAUCCGGCAUGAUCGUUAGGAAUUUUGAGGAGAUCUACCCUUAGUACGAGAGGACCGGGGCGGACGAAUCUCUAGUGUAUCGGUUGUGACCACCUGUUGCAUCGCCGAGUAGCUAUGUUCGGAAGAGAUAAGCGCUGAAAGCAUAUUAAGCGCGAAGCCCACUCCAAGAUUAGAAUUCCCUAUGAGAUCCCAGAGAGAAGAUCUGGUUGAUAGGCGCAAGAUGGAAGUACCGCAAGGUAUGGAGUCGAAGCGUACUAAUAGAUCCAUCGCCUUUUUAU
Molecule: ribosomal RNA, 309 nt
Filed under: Candidatus Saccharimonadota bacterium
Lineage: Bacteria; Candidatus Saccharimonadota
Description: partial 23S ribosomal RNA
Rfam family: Bacterial large subunit ribosomal RNA
Source: RNAcentral